AUACGGAGGGUGCAAGCGUUAUCCGGAUUUAUUGGGUUUAAAGGGUGCGCAGGCGGACCUGUCAGUCAGUGGUGAAAUCCCGGGGCUCAACCCCGGAACUGCCAUUGAUACUACAGGUCUUGAAUACGGUUGAAGUAGGCGGAAUGUAGCAUGUAGCGGUGAAAUGCAUAGAUAUGCUACAGAACACCGAUCGCGAAGGCAGCUUACUAGGACGAUAUUGACGCUCAGGCACGAAAGCGUGGGUAGCGAACAGGAUUAGAAACCCCAGUAGUCC
This 274-nucleotide ribosomal RNA is filed under the name uncultured bacterium. RNAcentral's name for it is "partial 16S ribosomal RNA". It matches the Rfam family "Bacterial small subunit ribosomal RNA", at positions 523 to 796 of the family's 1533-position model. The record is from RNAcentral.